AGACAUGGCCAAGGCUGGUCAAAGUGCAGUAUCUGUUCUUAACAAUUUAGUAUAUGUGAUGCAGGUUGUAUUUAGACCUAAGAUACUAAACCUAUUUUUGCAAUUUGGCGGAGGGCUUAAAGACGGCGUCACCUCCACCGCGGGUGGGCCCGGCAUUGCACUAUCUUUCCGGAUCGGCCCAAGUAUG
Molecule: small nuclear RNA, 187 nt
Organism: Dermacentor andersoni
Lineage: Eukaryota; Metazoa; Arthropoda; Arachnida; Ixodida; Ixodidae
Product: U2 spliceosomal RNA
Source: RefSeq, a predicted model, not a curated record